AACGCACCUUGCGCUCCUUGGUAUUCCGAGGAGCAUGCCUGUUUGAGUGUCAUUAAAUUCUCAACCUCACCAGUUUUGUUAUGAGACUGUGUAAGGCUUGGAUGUGGGGGUUUUUGCAGGCUGCCUCUGUGCGGUCUGCUCCCCUGAAAUGUAUUAGCGAGUUCACUAAGCUCCGUCUAUUGGUGUGAUAAUUAUCUACGCCGUGGAAUGGGUUUAGACUUGCUUCUAACCGUCUGCAAAGACAACUUUUGACAAUUUGACCUCAAAUCAGGUAGGACUACCCGCUGAACUUAA
RNAcentral lists this unclassified non-coding RNA (294 nucleotides) under uncultured Coprinellus. RNAcentral's name for it is "sequence contains ITS2". The stretch from base 1 to 52 matches the Rfam family "5.8S ribosomal RNA", at positions 103 to 154 of the family's 154-position model. The record is from RNAcentral. Lineage: Eukaryota; Fungi; Basidiomycota; Agaricomycetes; Agaricales; Psathyrellaceae.